Molecule: ribosomal RNA, 253 nt
Filed under: uncultured bacterium
Lineage: Bacteria
Description: partial 16S ribosomal RNA
Rfam family: Bacterial small subunit ribosomal RNA
Source: RNAcentral
UACAGAGGGUGCAAACGUUGUUCGGAAUUACUGGGCGUAAAGCGCGUGUAGGCGGCUCGGAAAGUCGGGUGUGAAAGCCCUGGGCUCAACCUAGGAAGUGCACUCGAAACUUCCGAGCUGGAGUUCUGGAGAGGAAGGCGGAAUUCUCGGUGUAGAGGUGAAAUUCGUAGAUAUCGAGAGGAACACCGGUGGCGAAGGCGGCCUUCUGGACAGCAACUGACGCUGAGACGCGAAAGCGUGGGGAGCAAACAGG